RNAcentral lists this transfer RNA (81 nucleotides) under Vibrio parahaemolyticus. Its description in RNAcentral is "tRNA-OTHER". It matches the Rfam family "tRNA". Rfam says of the family: Transfer RNA (tRNA) molecules are approximately 80 nucleotides in length. Their secondary structure includes four short double-helical elements and three loops (D, anti-codon, and T loops). The record is from RNAcentral. Lineage: Bacteria; Pseudomonadati; Pseudomonadota; Gammaproteobacteria; Vibrionales; Vibrionaceae.
GGUGGUGGAAUUGGUAGACACAAGGGAUUUAAAUCCCUCGGCGUUCGCGCUGUGCCGGUUCAAGUCCGGCCCGGGGCACCA